This is a long non-coding RNA of Cuculus canorus (common cuckoo), 500 nucleotides long. RefSeq lists it as uncharacterized. The transcript has 3 exons. The record is from RefSeq and is a predicted model, not a curated record. Lineage: Eukaryota; Metazoa; Chordata; Aves; Cuculiformes; Cuculidae.
CAGAAACCAGUUUCUGCAGGUCUUCCCUGAAUAUGCAGCAGGGAAACAGAAACUGGAUGUAUUAUUCUCUUAGGGAGUGUGAUUGACAGCUUUUUCUAUUCAUUGUGUCUUCUCUUUCCAGUGAUGAGAUUCUGAGAUGGCUUCCUGCAGCCUGAAAAUGACUGAGCGACUCAGUGGAGAAGGAGCAGAUUGACUAACUGGAAAGCUAACGUCUCUGGAAGCAAUUGCUGCUGGGCAGUGCGUCCUGGCUGAGAACAUGACCUUCUGAAUGCCCCAUCAAAGCAAUUGGAGGGCUCCUGCUACAGAACAGUGUCAAAGACAAAAAGCCCAAGAGGAGCUGUGUGCUUUGGAGAUGAAAGCUGAGAAAUCUGAUGAAAUCCAGUCCCCUUUUCAUAAGGAUUUGCAAGACAACACAGUCCCAUACUUCUUAGACACAAAAUUCUUCAUAAUGUGGUGUGCUCUGCAUUAAUGACGUGAACGCAGUGCAGUCUGUGCAGUCC